AGCGCCCGCAAGGGAGCGCAGACGGGUAAGUACACGUGGGAACGUACCCUUCAGUUCGGAACAACCCACCGAAACUUGGGCUAAUACCGGAUACGUCCGUAAGGAGAAAGAUUUAUCGCUGAGGGAUCGGCCCGCGUCUGAUUAGCUAGUUGGUGGGGUAAUGGCCCACCAAGGCUACGAUCAGUAGCUGGUCUGAGAGGAUGAUCAGCCACAUUGGGACUGAGCCACGGNCCAAACUCCUACGGGAGGCAGCAGUGGGGAAUAUUGGACAAUGGGGGCAACCCUGAUCCAGCCAUGCCGCGUGAGUGAUGAAGGCCCUAGGGUUGUAAAGCUCUUUUAGCAGGGAAGAUAAUGACGGUACCUGCAGAAAAAGCCCCGGCUAACUUCGUGCCCAGCAGUCGCGGUAAUACGAAGGGGGCUAGCGUUGCUCGGAAUCACUGGGCGUAAAGCGCA
Molecule: ribosomal RNA, 453 nt
Filed under: uncultured Rhodoplanes sp.
Lineage: Bacteria; Pseudomonadati; Pseudomonadota; Alphaproteobacteria; Hyphomicrobiales; Nitrobacteraceae
Description: bacterial SSU rRNA
Rfam family: Bacterial small subunit ribosomal RNA
Source: RNAcentral